GGGGGUGUACUGGUUUCGACGGGGGAUGGCAAGACCGCAACUUGCGUGCCGAGUUUGACGUGGGCUCGCAAAACACGUCAAAACAAUAACUGCUAAAAACAAUAAUUUAGCUUUCGCAGCUUAACACCUGUGAACUCUCCACCUGCUGUGUCUG
This 154-nucleotide transfer-messenger RNA is filed under the name Serratia marcescens. RNAcentral's name for it is "partial transfer-messenger RNA". It matches the Rfam family "transfer-messenger RNA", at positions 1 to 165 of the family's 374-position model. Rfam says of the family: Bacterial tmRNA, also known as 10Sa RNA or SsrA, is named for its dual tRNA and mRNA-like properties. The record is from RNAcentral. Lineage: Bacteria; Pseudomonadati; Pseudomonadota; Gammaproteobacteria; Enterobacterales; Yersiniaceae.